RNAcentral lists this ribosomal RNA (457 nucleotides) under uncultured bacterium. Its description in RNAcentral is "partial 16S ribosomal RNA". It matches the Rfam family "Bacterial small subunit ribosomal RNA", at positions 338 to 792 of the family's 1533-position model. The record is from RNAcentral.
CCUACGGGUGGCAGCAGUGAGGAAUAUUGGUCAAUGGGCGCGAGCCUGAACCAGCCAAGUAGCGUGAAGGAUGACUGCCCUACGGGUUGUAAACUUCUUUUAUAAAGGAAUAAAGUGAGGCACGUGUGCCUUUUUGUAUGUACUUUAUGAAUAAGGAUCGGCUAACUCCGUGCCAGCAGCCGCGGUAAUACGGAGGAUCCGAGUGUUAUCCGGAUUUAUUGGGUUUAAAGGGAGCGUAGAUGGGUUGUUAAGUCAGUUGUGAAGGUUUGCGGAUCAACCGUAAAAUUGCAAUUGAUACUGGCAGUGUUGAGAACAGUUGAGGGAGGAGGAAUUCGUGGUGUAGCGGUGAAAUGAUUAGAUAUCAAGAAGAACUGCGAUUGCGAUGGCAGCUUACUAAACUGCCACUGACAUUGAUGCUAGAAAGUGUGGGUAUCAAACAGGAUUAGAUACUCUAGUC